Molecule: ribosomal RNA, 252 nt
Filed under: uncultured bacterium
Lineage: Bacteria
Description: partial 16S ribosomal RNA
Rfam family: Bacterial small subunit ribosomal RNA
Source: RNAcentral
UACGUAGGGGGCAAGCGUUGUCCGGAAUUAUUGGGCGUAAAGCGCGUGUAGGCGGCUCGGUAAGUCUGCUGUGAAAGUCCAGGGCUCAACCUGGAAUGCCGGUGGAUACUGUCGAGCUCGAGUCCGGAAGAGGCGAGUGGAAUUCCUGGUGUAGCGGUGAAAUGCGCAGAUAUCAGGAGGAACACCAAUAGCGAAGGCAGCUCGCUGGGACGUUACUGACACUGAGGCGCGAAAGCGUGGGGAGCGAACAGG